CCUACGGGAGGCAGCAGUGGGGAAUAUUGGGCAAUGGGCGCAAGCCUGACCCAGCAACGCCGCGUGAGGGAAGAAGGCUUUAGGGUUGUAAAAUUCUUUUUAGAGGGAAGCGCAGACGACGGUACCUCUUGACUCAGCCACGGCUCACUACGUGCCCGCAGCCGCGGUAAUACGGAGGUGGCAAGCGUUGUCCGGAAUUACUAGGUGUAAAGGGAGCGCAGGCGGGAAGCGAAGUCAGCUGUGAAAACUACGGGCGUAACUUGUAGACUGCAGUUGAAACUGGGUGUCUUGAGUGAAGUAGAGGAAGGCGGAAUUCGGAGUGUAGCGGUGAAAUGCAUAGAUAUUCGGAGGAACACCGGUGGCGAAGGCGGCCAACCGGGCUUUAACUGACGCUGAGGCUCGAAAGUGUGGGGAGCAAACAGGAUUAGAUACCCCAGUAGUC
Molecule: ribosomal RNA, 442 nt
Filed under: uncultured bacterium
Lineage: Bacteria
Description: partial 16S ribosomal RNA
Rfam family: Bacterial small subunit ribosomal RNA
Source: RNAcentral